Molecule: long non-coding RNA, 770 nt
Organism: Colossoma macropomum (tambaqui)
Lineage: Eukaryota; Metazoa; Chordata; Actinopteri; Characiformes; Serrasalmidae
Exons: 2
Source: RefSeq, a predicted model, not a curated record
UAGCCACCGGCACUUCCCUCUGUGUCUCAGCCUUGAAUACACACUCUGUGUGUCUGUGUGAGCCUUUAUUAGGCAUGUUUUGUUUUUGACUCAACCUGUUCUGCUUCUUUAACACCUUCACUUCAACUGGAAAUUCUUGCAGACACAAAGGUCCUUGGUGGAUACAGCAGGAAAUGGGCUGCGCACGAUCAAGAUCAAACACACAUGUGGCCAAUGCAACAGAUAAGCACUUGAGAAUUUACUAUCAGACAUCACAGAUGACACUUGAAGAUCUUGUGGUCAAAGCAGAGGCAGGGGAGGGUUAUUCAAGCUUAAGCGUCUCAGCACAGGGAAAUAUCAGCUCCACAAUGGUUUUUAGACCUGACUCACGAGUGCACUACAUCCCUCUUCCUCCUAAAGAGUACAUUAACAUUGCAGGGAAAGGGGAGCUGUUCGUCAGCGUACUUGUGGACGACAAGAAAACAAAAAACACCUGCCUUAAGUGCAUCUGCCUCAACUUUCAUGUUCCCAGUGACCGAUCCUUCAUUGUGACGGCCAGUGAAAAUAUCAAGCUCCAGAAGUACGGUGCAAACGUCUGGGUUGAUGAAAGUGGUCAGAACCAUUUUAGAUAUUAAUAAUCAUUUUUGAAAAGUGUACAUCUUUCAUGUGAUUUCUUCUCUAAUUCAUUGCAAAUUCAUUUUUUUCUAAAACUGAAAUUGUGUGCUGUGGGAUUCGACAACAGCUACUGUUUAAAAUGUGCUUCAUGAAUAAAAAUUGAUUUGAUGACUAAA